Molecule: ribosomal RNA, 487 nt
Filed under: uncultured bacterium
Lineage: Bacteria
Description: bacterial SSU rRNA
Rfam family: Bacterial small subunit ribosomal RNA
Source: RNAcentral
AUUGAACGCUGGCGGCAGGCCUAACACAUGCAAGUCGAGCGGAAACGAGUUAUCUGAACCUUCGGGGAACGAUAACGGCGUCGAGCGGCGGACGGGUGAGUAAUGCCUAGGAAAUUGCCCUGAUGUGGGGGAUAACCAUUGGAAACGAUGGCUAAUACCGCAUAAUGCCUACGGGCCAAAGAGGGGGACCUUCGGGCCUCUCGCGUCAGGAUAUGCCUAGGUGGGAUUAGCUAGUUGGUGAGGUAAUGGCUCACCAAGGCGACGAUCCCUAGCUGGUCUGAGAGGAUGAUCAGCCACACUGGAACUGAGACACGGUCCAGACUCCUACGGGAGGCAGCAGUGGGGAAUAUUGCACAAUGGGCGCAAGCCUGAUGCAGCCAUGCCGCGUGUGUGAAGAAGGCCUUCGGGUUGUAAAGCACUUUCAGUAGGGAGGAAGGUUCAUGCGUUAAUAGCGUAUGGAUUUGACGUUACCUACAGAAGAAGCACC